This 261-nucleotide ribosomal RNA is filed under the name uncultured bacterium. RNAcentral describes it as "partial 16S ribosomal RNA". It matches the Rfam family "Bacterial small subunit ribosomal RNA", at positions 366 to 644 of the family's 1533-position model. The record is from RNAcentral.
GGACAAUGGGCGGAAGCCUGAUCCCCCCAUGCCGCGUGAGUGAUGAAGGCCCUAGGGUUGUAAAGCUUUUUUACCCGGGAUGAUAAUGACCGUUCCCGGAGAAUAAGCUCCGGCUAACUUCGUGCCAGCAACCGCGGUAAUACGAGGGGGGCUAGCGUUGUUUGGAAUUUCUGGGCGUAAAGCGCGCGUAGGCGGUUUUUUAAAUCAGAGGUGAAAAUCCGGGGCUCAACCCCGGAAUUGCCUUUGAAACUGGAAAAUUUG